Molecule: small RNA, 617 nt
Filed under: Pongo abelii (Sumatran orangutan)
Lineage: Eukaryota; Metazoa; Chordata; Mammalia; Primates; Hominidae
Description: retained intron
Source: RNAcentral
CCAGCCUGGACAGCAGUUAAGACGGUGAUUCCUUUCCCUCAUGAAUCAGUGCGGGGCAGACGCCUAGGAAAAUGCGGCACGUGUACAACAGCGAAUUGCUAGAUGUUUAUUGCUCUCAAUGCUGCAAGAAAAUCAACCUGCUCAAUGACUUGGAAGCCCGACUGAAAAACCUGAAGGCCAACAGCCCCAACCGAAAGAUCUCCAGCACGGCCUUUGGACGGCAGCUCAUGCACAGCAGCAACUUCAGCAGCAGCAAUGGCAGCACCGAAGACCUGUUCCGGGACAGCAUUGACUCCUGCGACAAUGACAUCACAGAGAAGGUAAGCUUCCUGGAAAAGAAGGUGACAGAGCUGGAGAAUGACAGCCUGACCAACGGGGACCUGAAGAGCAAGCUGAAGCAAGAGAACACACAGCUGGUGCACAGGGUGCAUGAGCUGGAGGAGAUGGUGAAGGAUCAGGAGACCACAGCUGAGCAGGCACUGGAGGAGGAGGCGCGGCGCCACCGCGAGGCCUACAGCAAGCUGGAGAGGGAGAAGGCUACCGAGGUGGAGCUGCUCAAUGCCAGGGUGCAGCAGUUGGAGGAAGAAAAUACAGAGCUUAGAACAACAGUGACUCGG